Long non-coding RNA from Cryptomeria japonica (Japanese cedar), 420 nucleotides. RefSeq lists it as uncharacterized. The transcript has 2 exons. Lineage: Eukaryota; Viridiplantae; Streptophyta; Pinopsida; Cupressales; Cupressaceae. The record is from RefSeq and is a predicted model, not a curated record.
UUUCAGGGUACCCCACUCAAGCUCCACCAUCACAAUAUGCAGAAGCAGGUCCUGUCAAAACACAGAGCAGAGGAGAGAAAGGUUGUCUAGAAGGAUGCUUAGCAGCCCUGUGUUGUUGUUGGUUGUGUGAAGAAUGUUGUGUGUGAGGACAUAUGCUUCCAUAUGACUUGAACCAGAUUAGAUUAGAUACAAUAUGAUAAUUUAUUGCAGUAUUGUAAUGGAACACUCUAUGGAUUAGUUGCAGGAGAAGGUUGUCUUGAUUUAUUGGUAGGAAAAGUUGUCUUGAAUUGUUGGAAUUGGCCACUUGUCAUGAUUAUAGGUCUAUGUGAAGUGUGAAGUGGCAUUUGUAAAGGUUAGAUUAUGUAAUUUUGAGACUCUGUGUAAGUAUACACAUUUAAUACAAUAGAAAAGCUUUAAAGA